This 468-nucleotide ribosomal RNA is filed under the name uncultured bacterium. RNAcentral's name for it is "partial 16S ribosomal RNA". It matches the Rfam family "Bacterial small subunit ribosomal RNA", at positions 28 to 507 of the family's 1533-position model. The record is from RNAcentral.
GACGAACGCUGGCGGCGUGCUUAACACAUGCAAGUCGAACGGAAAGGCGCUGCGCUUGUUGGGUGCUCGAGUGUCGAACGGGGGAGUAACACGUGAGUAACCUGCGCUUUACUUUGGGAUAACUUCAGGAAACUGGGGCGAAUAUCGCAUAUGAGCUCCUGCUGCAUGUUGGGUGUAGUAAAGAUUCGGCGGUUGUGGAUGGACUCGCGGCUUAUCAGCGUGUUGGUGGGGUAGUGGCUUACCAAGGCUUUGACGGGUAGCCGGCCUGAGAGGGUGACCGGCCACAUUGGGCCUGAGAUACGGCCCAGACUCCUACGGGAGGAAGCAGUGGGGAAUAUUGCACAAUGGGCGGAAGCCUGAUGCAGCAACGCCGCGUGCGGGAUGACGGCCUUCGGGUUGUAAACCGUUUUCGCGUGUGACGAAGCGUGAGUGACGGUAAUGGGUAAAGAAGCACCGGCUAACUACGUG